RNAcentral lists this long non-coding RNA (1923 nucleotides) under Anas platyrhynchos platyrhynchos (common mallard). RNAcentral's name for it is "lncRNA (ENSAPLG00000023538.1)". The record is from RNAcentral. Lineage: Eukaryota; Metazoa; Chordata; Aves; Anseriformes; Anatidae.
GGUACCAGGGAGAGGAGGGCUGAGGACCCUAGCCAGGAUGCUCCAGGUGCCCCGCAUCGCCCCGGGAGGUUGGUGGGAGGAGGGAAACUGAGGCACAAUGGGGGACAAAGGAGUGGGAGACCCCGAGCUCCCCUACGUUUUCAAAGCCUCGAGGGCCAAAGCGACGAGGCCGGGCAUGCUGCGGGCCAGCGAGUCGCUCUCCAGCCCCACGAGGCCGGCGAAAACCGUGGGGCGGCCGCCCACCGUGGCCCUCACCUGCGCCCGGUACAGCCCCUUGGUGUUUUUGGAGCCCAGGUCCACCAGGAUCUGCCAGGGGAGGAAAACCACCGUCAGCCCCAGGGCGAGGGGACACGCCGCUGGCGAGCUGGGGACGGCGAGGCGCCGGGGGGGGUGGCUGCCCCACGCACCUCCUGGAAGGUCAUGGCCAGGUCCGGCUCCGGCACCCGCAGCACCCAGGCGUAAAGCUCCUGCACCGCGCCCACCCGCAGCGCCGAGGCGUUGAGGCCAGGGCAGGCUGCAAGCCCCCGGGGGGGGGACAGGAGAGAGAUGGAAAUAGGGUCAGGGGGUGGGUGGGGGCACCGCGCUGUCACCAGCCCCAGGGUGCAAAGCCCAGGCUGGGUUUGCCAUCUCCGGCAUCCCGGUGGCAUCCCGCAGCACCUGGGGGCUGGGGGGUGCUUACCUCUUCCCUCACCUGCCUCCUCCUCCUCUUCCUCCUCUUCCUCUUCUUCCUCCUCCUCCUCCAGCCCAGGCUGUGUGGGCACCAGCUCACGUUUCUCCCUCGGCACCAACCCUGCGUGGAAAUCCCAUUGGGGACGCCGUCGGUGGCCACUGCUUGGGCACAAAGCUGGGUGGAAAUGACGACCCCGAUGCCCCCCCAGGGCUCACGGUUUGGUGUCGGGGUCCCCGAUGGCUCUCCGGGUGCCUGCUGCUGCUGCGUGGCUUCCAGGGGGGUGUCGAGGUCCAGCUCUGCCCGGAGCUGGGCGAGGAAAGCUCUGCCCUGUCCCACCAGCUCCUCCACCUCCUCCUCACCCUGCUGCGGGGAAGGGAAAGGGAACAGGGCAGGCAGUGGGGUUUGGUCCUUGCUGGCACUGUCACCGGAGCGGCAGGGGUUCCCCCCAUCCCAUCCCAUCCCAUCCCAUCCCAUCCCAUCCCAUCCCAUCCCAUCCCAUCCCAUCCCAUCCCAUCCCAUCCCAUCCCAUCCCAUCCCAUCCCAUCCCAUCCCUCUCCAAAUACCUGCAAGAAGAGCCACGUCUCCCCGGGGAGCCGCUGCCCAUCUGGGGUGGGUUCCAGGGGGCUGCCCCCAUCCAUAGCCCUCAGCGCCUGCACCCAGUCCUGCAGCUGGGGCCCCACGGCCCCAAAGAGCCCCGCAAAUGGGGGCGGCUGCCCGGCCCCCUGCCUGCAAGCACAGCGGGGACAGCUCAGCCAGGCACCCAUCCCUUGGGCACUGCCACCCCCCGUACACCCCUGUUGGGACCUGGUUAUGGGAAGAGCAGGACCCCAAUGCCUUGAGCUGUCCCCAAAAAGCCCUAUCAGUGCCCAUGGGUAUCUCGCUCGCCUCCCCAAAACCUACAGCCCCCAUAACCCACCAUGCCCUUGCGUCCCCCUUUACCUGGUGGGGGGUCUCCAGGGUCCCUCUGCUUUGGGGUUAGGCUGCCCCCCUCCCACAGCCACGUCUGUGGGGACAAGAAGGGGACAGGAGGGACACGGCGUAGGGGUGCCUGAGCCACCAGCACGAGGGUGGCGCGUCCCCACAGGGCCACGGGGUGGCACAGCCGGGGCGGGUGGGUACCUGGGGCGUCCCUACGGACACGGGCAGGGAAGAGGUGCCUGUAGAUCUUGCCCAGGAGCUGGGGCAGAGCCCGGGUGAGGAAGGAGAAAUCCACCUGGUUCCGGAUGAAGUCCCCGGCCCGACGCAGGAGCCCC